UCCAAGAUUGAUGAUUUGCCGGCGGUUGCUCUCUGCCGUGAACGUUGCUCAUUCUUGGAUGAAGCUAUUCACUAUCGUUAUGCUCUUGCUGAAGCACAUCUUGCUUAUCUUCACUCACUUAAAACUGUUGGAAUCUCUGUUCAGCAUUUUUUCAAAGAAAAUGUUGAAAUUUCUCAUUCCCCUGUUUUUGUUAAAGGUGACCCACCACCCCCUGAACCUCCCAAGAAAAUGAUUCCUCCUCCUUCUGCUCCUCCUCCUGUGGAUUCUCAUUCUAGUUCUGGUUCACAUCUUCAUUUUCAUUCUGAUUCUGAUUCUGAUGAAGGGUCUGGGACUGAUUCAUUACAUCAUCAUCAUUUAGAUGGUACUUCCGUACCGUUUCAUCAGUUUAGUUAUGGGGAUCAUGAAAUGCUUGGUUUUGGUGCUUCUUAUCCAGUUGGGGGAAAUGGGGGUGGGUUUAUG
RNAcentral lists this unclassified non-coding RNA (459 nucleotides) under Hevea brasiliensis (rubber tree). The record is from RNAcentral. Lineage: Eukaryota; Viridiplantae; Streptophyta; Magnoliopsida; Malpighiales; Euphorbiaceae.